RNAcentral lists this transfer RNA (70 nucleotides) under Dipodomys ordii (Ord's kangaroo rat). It matches the Rfam family "tRNA". Rfam says of the family: Transfer RNA (tRNA) molecules are approximately 80 nucleotides in length. Their secondary structure includes four short double-helical elements and three loops (D, anti-codon, and T loops). Lineage: Eukaryota; Metazoa; Chordata; Mammalia; Rodentia; Heteromyidae. The record is from Rfam by way of RNAcentral.
GGCACUGUGGCUCAGGGGUAGAGUGCUUGUCUUUCAUGCAUGUGGCCUUGGGUUUGAUUCCUCGGUACCA